This is a long non-coding RNA of Monodelphis domestica (gray short-tailed opossum), 3069 nucleotides long. The record is from Ensembl. NCBI's taxonomy places the organism in Eukaryota, Metazoa, Chordata, Mammalia, Didelphimorphia, Didelphidae.
UUAAAGUAUAACAACAACAUCAUCAACAAUAAUAUAAAAGCCUUUUCGCAUUAAGACGCAAAACUCCAAAUCCCAGUUCUGUGUGGAAGGGUCGGGUCUUAGCGCCGCCGUGUUCUUAGCGCUCCUGAUUUUGAUUGGUUACAAGUCCCCAAAGUUCAUUGAUGAUUGGUCCAAAGUUGAGAGGAGGGGGUGUGGCCAAGGGAAAGUAAAAACUCGCUUUCAGCAAGAAGUUUUGAAAACUUUCCCAAACCCUAAAAAGGGAGUUUGACUUUUUUGGACUUGCUGGCUCCUCGCAGACAGACGCAUUGGACACAGAAGGACAGACGGCCUCUACUCGCGAGCUGCCUUGAUUUCUGGAGAAGUGGGAGUUCUCUUCGGCGAGGGCUUUACAAUUCUUCUCCCCCUUUCCACCCCAUCCCCCUUCGUCCUGCCUUUUGGCUUUUCCCCCUCGUCUCUCCUUUCCUUCUCCUUUCUCCAGGCAAGCGGGCUCCAGGCUGCGACCUUCCCGGCAAGUCGUCCCAGACCUCUAGAUUUCUGUGAACCAAACCUGACCCAAAAUCUAUUUCGGUUUAGCCGGCGUUCCUCUUUGGGUCACUUCAAAGGAUGCUGAUUCUUCGCUGCUGGGGUCGCUGAGAGAACUCCGCUUGGAUUUGGGCUACGUGUGCCCGAAGCUCCGUCUCUCCCACUCCCUCCAGUGCACUCGAGACCAUCUCCGCGGCUCUCACACCAACGCUUUGGGCUCCCCCGCCUCCUCUGGGGCUCUCUCCUCCCUCCCCUGCCCCCUCCCCUUUGCCCCUGCCCGUAGUCCCAGUGCAGCCCGCGGGGGAGCCGUCUUCCAGGAUGCAGGCUCGCUACUCGGUGUCGGCGGACCCCAAUGCCCUGGGAGUGGUGCCGUACUUGAGCGAACAGAACUACUACCGGGCGGCGGGUACCUACGGCAGCAUGGCUAGCCCCAUGAGUGUCUACUCGGGCCACCCAGACCAGUACGGGGCUGGCAUGGGCCGCUCCUAUGGGCCUUACCACCAUCACCAGCCCACGGCGCCCAAGGACCUAGUAAAACCGCCCUAUAGCUACAUAGCUCUCAUUACCAUGGCCAUCCAGAACGCACCAGAGAAGAAGAUCACCCUGAAUGGCAUAUAUCAGUUCAUUAUGGACCGCUUCCCUUUCUAUCGGGAGAACAAACAGGGUUGGCAGAACAGCAUCCGCCACAACCUCUCGCUGAACGAAUGUUUUGUCAAGGUGCCCCGGGACGACAAGAAGCCGGGCAAGGGCAGCUACUGGACCCUGGACCCGGACUCCUACAAUAUGUUUGAAAACGGCAGCUUCUUAAGGCGGCGGCGGCGCUUCAAAAAGAAGGACGUACCCAAGGAGAAGGAGGAGCGGGGGCACCUCAAGGAACCGCCUCCCCAAGCGCCCAAAGGCGCCUCUGCCCACGCAGGAGCCCCCCUUCCUAGCACCGACACCCCGAAGGAGGUAGAGAAGAAGGUGGUGAUCAAAAGCGAGGCCUCGUCGCCCGACCUACCAGUCAUUACAAAGGUGGAGACUCUAAGCCCAGAAAGCGGCAGCGCGCUUCGGGACAGCCCCCGCAGCGUGGCCUCCACGCCGUCUGGCUCCACCGAGGGGUCGCUGCCUGACCACCACCCGUCCGGCAACGGGCUGUCUGGUUUCAGCGUAGAGAACAUCAUGACCCUGAGAACUUCGCCCCCGGGCGGGGACCUGAGCCCAGUGUCUGGCAGGACCGGGCUGGUGGUGUCCUCGCUAGCGCUGCCUUAUGGUCAGGGACCCCCGACUGCCUACAGCCAGCCCUGUCCCCAGGGCGUGGACACAGGAGGAAGCUACCAAUGUAGCAUGCGGGCCAUGAGCCUGUACACGGGUGGGGAGAGGCCAUCUCCCAUGUGUGGCCCCGCAGUCCUAGAGGAGGCCAUGUCGGACCACCCCAACGGCACCACGUCGCCCCUGAGUACGCUUGGCCUCGCGGCUAGUCAGGAAGGUGCUCUGGCUGGCUCGGGUCAUCACCAUCCCCAGCACCACCCUCACCACGGGCACCCACAGCCGCCACCGCCACCUCCACCUCCUCAGCAGCCUCCGCCUCAGACCGGCGCGGCCCCCGGGCAGGCGACCUCUUGGUAUCUGAACCACAGCGCGGAACUGAACCACCUUCCCGGUCACACGUUUGCAGCCCAGCAGCAGACUUUCCCCAACGUCCGGGAGAUGUUCAACUCCCAUCGGCUGGGAAUCGAGAGCUCGGCCCUCGGCGAGCACCAGGCAUGAAGAAGGGACACAGCGAGAGCUCGGGAGUUCAUUGGGAAAGGAGGCAGAGCUGGAGGGAGCUGGGGUUGCAGGCUCGUGGCUGGCUCUCCCGGGCUUGGGGAACCUCUUCCUGGCUCUCUCUUGCCUUCUCCCUUCGGGACAGCCUGGAGCUCGCUUAGCCUCGCCAUGACCCAUCUCUACAACCACCACCUACCUCCGCUGGUCAGCCCUUCGGUGUUGUACGUGUACAGCCCCGAGCGCCCGGGGCUGUCCCUGGGCUUUUCUCCUCCCGCUACUCUGGUUGGAGCUGGUCGGGCCGAGCCCCCCCAGAAGCCUCCCUACAGCUACAUCGCCCUCAUCGCCAUGGCCAUCAAAGAUGCCCCAGACCAGAGGGUCACGCUCAACGGCAUCUACCAGUUCAUCAUGGACCGCUUUCCCUUCUACCACGACAACAAGCAGGGCUGGCAAAACAGCAUCCGCCACAAUUUAUCCCUCAAUGACUGCUUCGUCAAGGUGCCCCGGGAGAAGGGCCGCCCAGGCAAAGGCAGCUAUUGGACCCUGGACCCCCGCUGCCUGGACAUGUUUGAACACGGCAACUAUAGACGGCGGAAGAGGAAGCCCAAGCCCGGGCCCGGGGUCCAGGAGGCCAAGAGGGGAAAAGGGGAGGUGGAGGAGACUGGAGCCCAGGUGGGCCGCAGAAUCAGGCUGGAGGAAAGGGAAGAAAGUCCUGUAGCAGCUGGGGGAGGAGGGGAGAGAGGAGGAAGACAAGGAGGGGGAGGAAAGAAUAAAGGAGGAGGAUGGCGUGAAGGAGGAGAUGGA